CUUCCCCGCUCCCCCGCGUCCUCCGCCGCCCGCCGCCCGUCCCUUCGGAAGCGCCGAUUCCUCGGGGAGGAGGAGGCGUGAGGGGAGGCGGCGGAGGCAGCCGGCACGGGGCGCUCGGGCCGCGGGGCAGGGGGCGCGGGGUGCCUCCUCGGCCUCGGCUCUCCCCGCCCCGGGGCGCCCCGAGACCGCCGCCUGCCUCCGCGGGCAGCUUUGUUCUUCUUUCCUCCAACUACCUGUCUGAGCCGCGGGCCCCAGAGGCCCCAAAGAGAGGCCCGGAGGGUCUCCCCAGCAGCAUCCGAGGGGCGCUCUCGGGGAGCUAGGGGCCAGAGUCCGCGGUCCCUCCGUGCCUGCCUCCCUCCCCUCGUGCCUCGGUCUUUUGUUGCCUCUACUCCUCGGCACGGCGCAGCCUGGGCUCUCUUCCCCCUCCCGCUUGGGAGUUUGCAGUGUGGACGCUCGGCAAGCACAGUAAGUUGUCCCCCAGCGAACUCGGGCCCGGGCGGAGUGGAGCCGCCCCCGCCGGGACGGGCGCACCGCGGGACGCUUGGAAGCCUCUGCCAGAUGCGCUCGCGCUCCAGCCCCGCCGGGCUUUGUGACCAGCCUGACCGGGACCCGGCAGCUGGGGCUCCUCGGAGAUCAGAAUGGGCUCCGGGGCUCUUCCUUGGGCAGCCCCUCCUGCUCCUCCCCGGUGCGGUAAUCAGCAAGCAUUAAAAGGAAAACUAUAAUUCUCCAGGAAUCAGGAAUCAGGGUUGGAAUCAGAGAGGGGAGGUGGGGGUAGGGAGGAUGUCCAAACUCCCUACGUCAUUUAAAAAAGAGAGAAGGCGAGAGAGAGAGAGAAAGAGAUCGAGAUCCUGUUUCCUAGUUCAUCCCUGUCUUCUCAACUGUAAAGUAAAAAUGACAGGGAAAAGAGAAUUUCAAAGUGGAAUUUCCCCAAAGAGUAUUGAGAAAGUGAGAAAGAUUUCAUUUAUCUAUUGAAAUGAGGCAGCCAGGAUUCAGGAAGAAAGGAACAGAAGAGCAGAUGAAGCAAGUGCUGUCUGAAAUUUUGGAUCCAGAUAAAUAUUUUGGUGGUGGUGGGUGUUAUAUAUUCUGAGUUUUGCUGCUUAGGGGUCCACAAAACCCACACAGGAGGGCUCUGCUGCCCGCAGCUCCUGUUACAAGAUUGUUCCCCACAUACACAGCAUUCACUUGUGCUUAAAUCUAGAGCAGACACUUUUCAAAAAGAACAAUAAAGACAACCAAUUUACAAGUUCAAUGAUAUAAAUGUGAACAGUGAUCUAAGAGAUGGGGAUAGAGACGGUGGGGGACAGGAGGGAACGAAGCAGAAGUGUUUUCUAAAAGGCAACCCUGCAUUCACCUGUUGGAAAGGUGGCCUCUGUCACCCUUUUCAAGCAAAUAACGAAUCUGAAUGAUGAUCAGGGUGUCCGGAACCCACCGCCUUCCCCCUACCUAUUCAUGCUCAGAUUCAGGCUAUUAGAAAACAAACCAUAAUGAAGGGAAAGUUUUAAAUCCCACAUUGGGUUGUUUCCUUUUAGAGAAAUCACUGCAAAGGAAAAAUAAUAAGAUCUAGUUGUCGUUUUCUAAAGCCUUUUUGGCUCUGAACUUCCAGAUCUCCUGAAUCCCAAUAAUAAUCUGGUAUUUUUUACAAAGAUUGGGCCUACAGUCUCAUUUCAUUGCACAGCUAGCUGCCAGAGUCUAUGGGCGGCAGUUCCUGUGCUCUGUUUGCUGGGCUGUACAAACAGGAAUAAUACUGCAGAACUUCAUUAGGAUUUUAGGUGGAUUAAACUGCUAAUAGUUUCAAGUUUCUGUGUAAAUUAUAGCCAUCAUUUGCACAUUUAAAACUCAUUUGAGGGAUUUGGAGAAGAAAAGAAUUCUUUUCUAGACAAAGGGCCUUGGGACAUAGCUAGUUUUGUCUUAUGUUGAUGAUUGCAACAAAAUUUAUGGCUUAUUACUCAAAGGCUUCCUUCCAAACUGCGCUUUUUGGAACUUUGAACUGUUUAACCUGAAUGUUAUCACGUUCAGUAGUUUUCUUUGUUUUCAGCUCAUGGUAUCAGAGGAAAUCAAGCAGAUCACAUCUGUUUCCAGCGGAGUCCGUUAUCCCCUCUGUAAUACAGAAUCAACAUACAUUCCCAGGGGCUUUCAAGUUAUUAGAGUUAUUUUUAAAGGAACAAGGAUACUCUUGGCCCUUCUGGCGUUAUUUUCCUUCUAAUCUCCCUGGCCAUUUCAGUUUGGAUGAUUUCCGAGACUGUGGGACCCCACUUUCACCGUGCUAAGGACUGAAAGGCUACAACUACCUAGUCUUAAUAAUUCACUAGUGUCUCCAGAUUUUGGAGCUCAGCACAGCCUUCUGACCUUGUAGCAGGGAACAUAAUGAAGGCCCUGGGAAAGUAAGAGAAGAGGAUGAAGAUUAGCUUAGUUUAGUUGGAUUAAAUUCUGACCUGCAACCUUUCAUUUGCUCUAUCUUAAAAAAAAAUCCUUAUAUAAUUUAUUCAGUCUCAUAAUUUAUUCACAACUCAUUUACUUCCUGGAUCAUUUCACCAACCUAGCCUGGUGUGCUUGACUCGCCUGCCUGUGCUCCCAGGGCUGCGUAGGGGAAGACAGCGUCAUGGGCACACACAGGACCUUCUUGGUCUCCAGGAGUGUGCCAGAGAAGGGAAGUCUGCUUAUACCAACAGCUCAGCACCUCCUGCCUCUGCACACACCUUUCUCUCACAGAUAGUGCAGGCUGCAGAAAUAAGUAGUUUAGUGUUGUGAGUUCUGGAGCCAGUUUAUCUCCUCCACUAACUAAAUUACUUAAUCUUGUCUGCCUCAAUUUCCCCAUCUGUAAUGGGGAUAAUGACACUGAUACCUUAUUCAUAGCAUUGUAGUAAAGAUUAAAAGAGUGUAGUCAGUGUAGGCUAAUGCUUAGCACGUAGUAAGCACUCAUUAAACUUAGCUAUCACCUUAUUGGUCCUAACAUCUCCCAGCUUGAUACCCUCACUCUCCUGUUCCAUUCAUAUUUUCUGGGAUCCACAUGGAACUGUAUCUGUACUUAUUAUCUCUGAAGUAGGCUUACAGGAUCAGCUGCUGUGAUUGAACUACCCCUACCCAGAUGACAUAGGUCCAAUGCCACUCCAGAAAGCUUGCUCCAUAUGAGAAUGAAAACACUUUUCUCCAUUGCAACUUUGCUCAUUUUGCAAUUAACCGGGACCCUUUAAUUUCAAUUUGCUCAAUAACUCAGAUUUCAAACUCAUGACACACUGUAGUCAAAUUAGAAAUUUGCAAAAACACAACCAAGAGACAUUCUUCAGACCAGAAGUUGGAAGAUUUCAUAGAAAGGACCUUCAAACCUUGGUAUGACAUCUCUAUAUAAGAAGACAGAAACGGUCAACCCCAGAUCAAAAACAGGAUACAAAAUAACUCCUUCUCUUCAUUCCUUCCUUACCCUUUUCAUACCUCUGCCAAUAAAAAACAAAAUGACAAAAAAGCAUGACAAAAUAAAACAAUAAGCAUACAACUAGAGUCACUAGAUUUAGCAAAUAAAACUAUUGCGUGGGAUAUACUUCCACUAAAAAACUCUUUGUUGUUUACCUAAAAUUCGGAUUUAACUAGGCAUCCUAUAUGUUAUUUGCAGCCCCACCACAGUGUACCUGAUAGCCUCUCAAUUUUCUCAUGGAACAUGCAAAGGACAAAAGAGCCCGAUAAGACAGAAAACAUGAAAUGCAACAUUAAAUUUAUUUUAGAAGAGAAUAAGCAGAAAAAAAAAAAACAAGCAAAGCCUGGAUGGAACAACAGAACUUCAAAGCCUGAGGAUAGUGUUUCCAAGCUGGGCUGGGCUUAGCCUUGGGGUUUCUCAUAGUUAGAGGUUGCAUGGUUUGUGUUUCUAGCCCUUUCCUAUGGAACACUGCCAUGCUAGAGGGACAGGCAGUUGCUCCUGCAUGCAGUCCCCAGGGUCCCACAAAUGAACUUCUGAAGAGAUAGAGCUCAACUCACUUUCAAGAACUUCAGCUUUGAAACCAAGGAUAAACUCAUGCUAGUGUCAAGAUCAAGAUCAAGCUCAUUUCUUGUAUUUCUGAGAGGAAUCAAAGAAGUUCAAGCCCAAACACUUCCACCACAGAAACAGUGGAAAAAAGAAAUGGUGCAAGAUCUAAAGAGCCUUCCUUAGAACACAUCAGGCAGAUUCUGCUGCCUCCGUUCCAGGUCAAUAGCAUGUAGCAAUGACAGCUUCUAUCUCUGUCUUCAGCCCCAUUCAUUUGUCUUUCUCAGUGACAGACCUAUCAGGGGUGGUGUCUCUAAUAAGUGGGGUUCAUUUUUAUACAUUCAGUUUUCCCCAAUAGCCUGAAUUUUCUACCAUUUUUCAUGUACACCAUCAAAGCUGGAUUCUGUGCGAUUCUUACGAAAUAAUUGAGGUCUGAGAUGAGAAACUAGAGUUUGUUGGCAGGCCUGAAAGCAGAUCAAAGCUGAGCCUGGAAAAAACUUUGCAGGGAGGGCUCCAUCAAUGGAGCAGCCAAGAUGAGACCCACAGCUGAAUGUGCCCUGUGUUCCCAAAACAUAUCCUAAAUGUCCACACUAAUGUCAUUCAUAUCAUUUUGUAUAAUCUACAAGCGCAUGGAGAGAUGACUUGUCCUACUGAGAGCUAAUUGCUCACAUGUCUGAUCUGCUUUCAAAAUUAAUUGUGAUAUGAGCUGCUGUGUAUACACCGCAGGAAAAAGGAUACACACAGAUAAAGAACUAGUUUUCAAACGUAAAGAAAGAAACCCAAGAAUUCCAAGUAGCAAUUCCUGGAUUGCUACUUGGGUGGCAGAGCUCUGAUUCAUCCAGUAAGGAUUUUCUUAAGCACCUCUGUGUACCCCACCCUAUGAUUCUUGCAUCAUUCACUCAACAAAUAUUUACUGAGUGUCUAUUGUGUUAUCGUUAUCGUUCUAGGCAGUAGGGAUAAAGUAGUGGUGAUCUGUGCAAACACAGUCACUCUCAGUGGUGGGAGUUUGAGAUAAAAAACAAGUAAAUAAACAAGUGAGAAAAUUUCAAAUCUUGGUGAGCGGUACGAAGAAAUUAAAAGAGGUUGCUGUGACUGGUCACACGGGCAGCAAGAGAGAACAAUUUAGAUUGGGAAUUCAGGGAAGGCUUCUCCAAGAAGUGUCAUUCCACUGAGAACUGAAAGCUGAAAAGGAGUCGAUCACUUGAAAGUAUUCCUGGGGAAAAAAUAAUAAAGGACACGGUGUUAUUAUCAUAUAAUCUAAUUAGAUUCAUCAGUACACCUUAGGCAAAAAAGAAGAAAAAGAUCAUUGAGGGAGACAAUUAGUUAGGGAAUACUUCAUGAGUCUGGAUCCCCCCCGGCUUGACCUGGCAUGGAUUUGGGUGAGUGGAGGAAAGGGAUAGGGUGGGGCAUAACUUCUUUGAUUGGUGUACAGGGCCACACAAGGUGGCAGGGAAGACAUGAUGGCCUAGGUAGCAGGCAGCUAAGUGUGCCAUUGACAGAGAUGGUAAGAAACGUAGAGUGGGAAGGGGCCUUAAGGUACUUAAUGCUCAAAUUAUAAUCCAAGAACCAGCAGCAUCAGUGCCACCUGGGAGGUGGUUAGCAGUAUAGAAUCUUGGGGUCCAUUGCAAACCUGAUGAUUCCAAAUCUUCAUUUUCACAAGAUGCUCAGGUGAUUUGCAUGCAUGUUAAACCUCAAGAACCACUGCUGUAUUCCAAUUUUCUCAUUUUAGGGAUAGGGUAACAGAAUUUAAAUGAUCCCCAUCUUUACCAUCCUAGGCUUGUGGAGGGUGUGUGUGUGUGUAAGAAAGAGAAUAUUUUGCUUUUAAAUAUGUAUUUCAAAUAGUGAACCUGGAGGUCUGUGACACCUGUGGCUAAAUGUAUGUUUCUUACGUAGGGCAGCAGCAUGUUUUUUUUAGCUAGAGUAGAAGAGGAAAGUUAAAAUUUGGUGGCUUUUUCAGAUCUAUGCAUCUGUUUAGGAAACAGACUUGGUGAAUUUGGGGCCUUAAUUCAGCUUUCCGGGAGAUCGAAUUUACUUUGGGAUUACUCUUUGGAUUUAGACCAUUUGUACCCGAGUAAUUAAGCCCCUUCCAGUCAUAUGACCUUGAGCAGGUCACUUAAGUCUCUGCAUAUAGUUGUAUUGUCUACGAGGGUGACUUGUAACUCUUUUUCAGGGUAGUUGUGAGGAAGAAAUGAGAUCAUCAGUGGCAGUGGCAGCAUCAGUUAUUUGUGGAGAAGGGGAAGUCUGGUCCUGCCUCAUCUCCACUGUCCCUCCAGGGCCCCACCAAGUGAAUAGAUGGAAGAAAAAGAUGAGUACUGGCUAGGUAUAUAUCACUGUCCCUAAGCCUAUUCCAUACAGAAAUCAUGGAGCUGCCACUACAGAUGUUGCUUGGGGUAUGGGCGAUGAGGCCUGUAAAGUAUUAUUUAGACGUUAAUGGUGGUGUGAUGAUGAUGGUGAAUAGUUACAGAGUGGCCAUUCCCUAUUGGGCACUGUGCUGGGUACUGGAGAUGCAGUCAAGGUCAAGUGCUACCUAUGAAGUUUGGGUCAGAUCUGAAAGAUACACGAUGGUUCCCCAGAAUGCUUUGUAGUUCUGAAUGAGUCCCAGCCAGGCGGCAGUGGCUUCCUGGUCUCCACUCUCUCACCUCCUUAUCUUCUGAGCCUCACCCUCCGAGAGCAAUUGUGUUUUGCAAUAGGCUUAGGUUUCCUUAAAUCUCAGACCCAUGCCAUUGGAGCAUCCUGUGAGUCCCACCAUUUAGGAAUCAGGGGCGGCCUCUAGUAUCUCCACAGUGUUUGGAAAUCUCCACUACUGAGUUAUUAAACAUGUAACUCAACGUGUAAGGGAGCAAAGGGUCACACUGUGGCAUGAAAUUUCACAUUUGAAGCAGUGCCAACCCUUCUUUUUGCACACAACUUUCAGAUGACCCCAUGGCAACAUCUGUAAGACAUUUAUAUUCUUUAGGGGUGUAAAUACAGAGUCAUAGUGAAAGUGAAAACUGCCUCCCUCAAAUUAUCAUCACAAAGCAUAUAUAUGUCUAAUAUAUAAAACCAAUAAAUCAACACUGAUGAUGUGUUUUUAUCCAAUGAAACUCUUAUGAUCUUAUCCCAACCAUAAAAGAUAUGUUAAAUGAUUAAAAUGCACUAAAGUAAUAAAUAGUAUGUGUGUAUACAUACACACACACACACACACACACAUAUAUGUGUAUAUUCUCAGAAGGAAAAAUGCACACAACAUUUUUCACACUAAAUUUAGUCCUGAAUUUCUAUAAAAUCUUACAAACUGAGCUGGCUUCUUCAUACUAAAGAAGAUAAACUCUUACAAUCUGAGCUGGCUUCUUUACACUAAAGAAGAUUAAAGUAUCAAUACAUCAGAAAAGCAUCACAAAUAUUUCUUUUCUAGUGAGAAAGAUGCCAACAUCACUUCUUGACAGGCAAAGCAAAGUGAUUACAUAGCUUUCUAUAGAGGCAAAAUAAUGGUAUGGUGUAUUGGAAAAUGAUAUGCAGAAAAAUCAGAGAUAAUAUUUCAAAAUAUUUCUGAAUUUCAUUAUUUUCCAAAGCCAUGCCCCACAAGGAUCAGGGCUUGAUUACUGAAAAAUUUACAGAGAGAGGGAGAGAGAGAGGUAAGUAUUUACAGCAAAUUGUGUAAGAACUUAGUAUAUUCACCUUACAAAGAGGCUGUGUCACAGAUUUCCUCCAAAUUCCUCCCAAUCACUUACAGCUUCUGACUUUUGAUGACAUUAAUAUUAAUGCAAUGAUAGAAAGAUUAUACUUUCUAGAAAUUUGAUACCAAUCAGUGUUAUAGCUCCACUUUUUUCGGAGCAGGGAGGGGUUAAGAAAUGUUUUUUCCAUUUACAGAGAUAAAUAUGUGUAUGAUCAAGGCUAAGAAUCCGCAACCCAAGGGAGGAGAAUGAGAAAAGAUCGUAAUUUACAGCAGUUACCUCGAGCUUACUCAUCAGAACGCAGAUAGGUUUAAUGGCUUAUUCUAGAAAUGUGGGAACUCAGAAUUUCUGCAGCUUCGUUUUGUAAGCAGUAAAGGAAUUGCCCUGCAGCCUAUCGCAGCGGAAGGUGAGGUGAGGAAUCCCAGUUGGACUGGGGUCAGGGGGCCAUGCUGCUCACCUCUGAGGAAGUUACGAGACUACAGGAUUUCAUCAAUGGAGCUAGUGCUCCGAUUUUCUGUUCCUGUCUCUAUUGGCCUGCGGAGAUAUCAAAAUGUCAGCUAGUUUCUGUCUCUAAGCAAGACAGGUUCUAAACUAUGUCAAAGUAUUGAAUCUUUUCCCUGGAUGAUCUCUUCACCUCAUAGGUGAGGAGGAGACUUGAAAUGUCCUAUUUAUUUAAAAGAUGCAGAAAGUCAAACUAGAUAAUUUCAUUCCUUCGUUGCUUUUUCAGCCAUGAAAAUCUCAAGGGCAUAUUGCAUAACCUGUUGGACCCAAUACAUAUUAAUGCACUAUUUAAAUGGUGCAUAAUGUUGAAUAGUUGGUAUCAAAUGAUGUAGUUUAAAAAAGUACUAGAUGGCUUUUAAGAUUCCUUCCUGUUCUCUGAGCCCUCAUAUUCUCACUUAAAGCUGUGGAAACUCGGGAUAGGUCCUUCAGGUAACGCUCAUUAGCCCACUUUUUCUGCUUCUCUUGUGCAACCAGAAACAUUGGUUUAUACAAAACAUGGUAAAAUUACAAUUCCCACAACACACAGAAGCUACUGGUUUGGGUUUGUACUUUGUCCCCAGUUGGAGUUGCGAUUCGCAAAUCUCUUCAGGAGGUGGGACAUUUGAAAAUCUCAGAGUGCUUCUUGGAAUAUUAUGAAAUAUCAAACUUAAAAUAAAUUCACAUACGAUUUUGAUUGUAUCUAUCACGAAACCAUCUGACAUUCGAUUCUUACAUAGAAAUAUAGUAGACAUCAAAUAUGUAAGGAAUACUUAUAGAAGAAAACCUUAAAGCUAUGAACCUUUGUCUGAUAACAUUAUUUCUCCUAAAAAUUGGAAAAGAACACACUCAUUCUAUUUGAGCCAUGGGACAUCUUGACCUAGUUAUGGAAAACCAGUAUUUCUCAAAGAAUAUAAUUUUAAAAAACAUGGUCUUAGCUAUUGAAUGGUUAGGUACUAAGAAUCUCUGUCUUCGGCCAUUAUUUUUGGUUUUGCCACUUAACAUAUUGACCUUUGCAAUCACACUGCAAACACCUACCUGCUUUCUUAUUCACUGCUCUUUCUACCUUCUUUCAGCAACAUGGCUGUUCAGGUUUAUUUAGCUCAUUAACUACCUUGUUUCUCUAGACAAUACCCCAGAGAUAUUAGCUGGCAUUUUUUUCCUAGCUGAGUGUCACUUAGUUUAUCCUAGUGCAUUUUCUUCAUCCAAGGAAAACAAACGCUUUGCUAUCAUUUCUCUAUCCUUCCAGUGUCUAUGACACCUUCUUCGUUUUGUCUCACCAUUUGUUAGGGUUCUGUUUACUCCCUUCUCCUGAUCGUUAGUGAACCCGCAGAAGCUCAGGAUCACCAGGGGAAUUCAUCUUCUAGUUAUCUGUAUUCAAGAUCUCAUUAUCCACAGAGGGACAAGUACCUAGGGCCCUGUAUUGUUUCAAGACAGAGAAAGAGGUUAACCCACUUUGAGUCUAUUUUUAAAGAAACAUUCUAUGAAAUAUUUCUCUACCUAAUCCAGGUGAUAUGCUUACAUCUAGUUCAAACACUUCUAUUGUACUUCUGUCUUCAGCAUUUUAUCAUUACUGUUCAUUCGAUAGAUUACCUAACUUUUUCAACACAGUAUCUCUGUGUGAGGCUGAUCAUGAUGGACUAGCUGUUUGCAAAACUCUCUAGGAGGCUUUGGAGGCUCUUCUUCCUGCAGCCCCCACUCUUGGUAGGAUUCUCAGGCAGAAGGGUUAUCAACCCUGUGCCUCUGGAGGAAGCACUUCUUCCCAUGCGAGACCCCACUGUUCAUCUACGCAGCCUCUCUGGGUGUUCCUUUUCAUCUUCUAGGAACUCUGCUAGCUUCUACUCUCACCUGUGGGCAUUUUCCUGGCUAGGCUACCACUUUUCUCAUAUCCUCCAACUAAAUGCAAUAACAUUUUUUAGAGUUUUGCUGUCAAUCUCAUGAGCCAGUAGCUUGCAUAAUGUAAGUAAUACACCUGAGGAAUUACAGGGAUUACAAGAUCUUACCAACUGAUGAGGUUGUAAAUAGAAGUCACAUUGGCUUUAUUGCAGUUAACUUUAUUUCUGAGAGUGUGGCUCACCCAUCUUCCCUCCUGUCCUACAAUUAGCAAAGACUACAUAGAUCUUUGUCAUAGAUCUUCCUAGUACUGUGUGCUUGAAGAGCCGGACAAAACCUUAGUUGCAUGCUAGUCUAAAAAAAUGUGAGUGAUUUGUAUCUCAGAGACAUUCUAGAUUGAAAAGAUGGCCCUGGCCCCUACCUAGAACCUAGAAUUCCACCAUUUCUCAUUCUCAUUCACUAACUACUUCCACUGCUUCAGCACUCUUCACCUAUUUUAAGAUUUCAGGCAAAUUCUUCCUUUAGUCAGCUAGAAAGUAAGCUCAAUAAGAGCAGCUACGUCAUCUUUUUCACUGCUGCAUCCUUCACACCAAGGAAAGUGACUGGCCAAUAUCUAUUGCACUCCUUCCAUGUACUGGACAGUGAACAGAUUGGUGGGCAAAGGGGAGUCUCCAAAAAUGCAUUAAAAUUAUUAGAGAGCAACCUGUUAAUCAAGUAGCCUAUAUAAGUAAGAAGAACUAGAAGGAGGUUUUAACUGUUGAAUAAGUACAGGAAAAUGCCUUAUUUCUGAAUAGAAAACCAAUAUUAUAAAUAUGUCAAUCAUUCCUUUUGUUUAAUGCAAUUCCAAUCAACAUCCGACUGGAUUUGUCUUUUUAACUUAUCAACAUUACUCUAGGGAUCUACUCAAGAGACAUGAAGACAAAUUUUCACAUAAAACUUGUAGGUGAAUAUUCAUAACAGCAUUAUUCAUGGUAGCUUAAAAAGUAGAACCAAUGCAAAUACCCAUCAGCUAGUGAAUGGAUCCUCAAAAUGUGACAUAUCCAUGCAAUGGAAUAUUACUCAACAAUAAAAAGAAAUGGAAUACAAUUACUUGCCACAACAUGGAUGAUUUCAAAAGCAUUAUGCUCAGUGAAAUAAACCAGACACAAAAAACUACAUAUUGGAAUGUAUCACUCCAUUUGUAGUGAAAGUCUAGAAAAGGCAAAUCUAGAGUGAUAGAACUAGAUUAGUAGUUGCCCAGGGGUUGGAGUGGGAUUGAGGAGUGACUGCAAGUGCACACAAAAGGUUCUUCCCCAUUUUUUUUUUUUGGUGAGGGGAGUGAUGAAAAUGUUCUGAAAUGAAACCAUGAUGAUGGUUACACAAGUCUUUAAAUACACCAAAGUCCAUUGAAUUGUACGCUUAAAACUGAUGAAUUUUGUGCUAUGUAAAUCAUGUCUUAACAAAGUAAAAUAGAAUAUUUUAAAGAUUAUGUGUAAGAAUAGAGAGGUAUGAGUAGCCAAGGCACUUUUAGAGAAAAAAAAAAGUAGUGAUGGGAUACUAAUUAUUACCUUUGGGAAAAGUCUUAGAAGGAGAAUUUCUGGAUUAAAGGUGUACACAAAAUGAAUAAUAACAGCAAUUGAAUAAAAUAAGAAUCCAUGAGUCCAUAUUAGAGUUAGGUAGGUUCCUGGCCAACAGAUAAAACAGAUUCUCUGUAACCAACAGAGGUGCUGAAAGUUAAAACAGAACCAGUCUGCCAUGGCUGCGUGAGGGGGUGGUGGUCAUAUAGUCAGUAUUCUCAGAAAGGUGUUGCAAAAGUGUCACAGGGCCUCCCUUUGUAUGAUCAAGCCAAACCAGUUUCUGAUGGUGCCUAGAUAAACUGUGGCCAGAAACACCCUCUCCCCACCACCCGGCCGAAGAACUAUCUUACAAAGACUUCUAGUUUGGGGCUUGGAAGCCACCCAAUCAGACUGGCACAAGUUUAAAUCUUUCAUUUGCAUACGUGGACCUGAUUGAGAAUCGGGGUGAGAAACUUUCCCUGUUUAAGCCAGACCCUCCCUUUGUUCUUAGGCGAGCACAUUUUCACUUGUAUUGAAAGCUGUGCCUCCCCAGUCUGCAGACAUUUUUUAAGAAAAUAAAGCUCUCUGUCCUCCACAGUCUUUUUUUUUUUUCAGCAAUAAUGAGCAAACCAAUCUAGACAAAAAACCUCACUGCUUAAACAAAUAACCCAAAAUGAAUCAGAUUUAAAAGCAAAAUAAAACUAUAAAAUGUUUAGAACAUGGGAAAAAAUCUGUGGGACAUGGGGCUUGAAGAGUUCUUCAACAUGACACCAAAAGCACAAUCCAUAAAUGAAAAAAUAAUUGAUAAGUUGAGCGUUAUCAAAAUUAAAACGUUUGCUUUGCAGGAGACCCUGUUAAGAGAAUCAAAAGAUAAGUUACAGAUCGUGAGAAAAUAUUUGUAAACCGCAUG
Molecule: long non-coding RNA, 12360 nt
Filed under: Homo sapiens (human)
Lineage: Eukaryota; Metazoa; Chordata; Mammalia; Primates; Hominidae
Description: non-protein coding lnc-ARHGAP28-10:7
Source: RNAcentral